UCUAUCUUUGAUUGAUAAUGUGAAAGAGGGUUAUAUUUGAUCAUGAAAAGGGGAUUAGUAUCACGCCCCAAAAUGGAUUGAGACGUGGCCGGCGCCCAAUGCCUAUCAACUUGCACAGAGCGAACCGUAAUGAUGUAGUACAUGCCCAAUUCGCAUCCACGAUCCAAUUUAUUAAUCAAUCAACAACGUUUAACGAAUAAAGUGAACUAAAUACCAUUUCAAUUAGAGUCUAUAACCCAAAAUAUUACGUAGUUCAUCUGUGAACCCUCUAGGACGCUAUGAAUAAAGGGAUAAAAUAACGGGUCUAGCCCGCAUACAAGAGGAAGUAAUUGAAUAGAGUAUUCUAACGAAGUCAAAGGCGGGCUCUAAAAGCAUAAAGCUACAGGAAUCCUAGCUCGUACACUGACCGUCCUGCGCCUGACCAACCGCUCAACCUAACACCAUUUAAACAAAUGAUGCUUGAGUAUCAAAAUACUCAGAUAUGCAUCGUAGCCGCCACUCGUGGUGGGGCAAGCGUUAUACAGAUAUAAAGAAUAUAUCAGAUGCAUAAAAGAUAAAUUAAAUAACUAGUUUAAUUUAUCGAAGCAGAUAAUGUGAACUCAAUUUAAGAUGCAUGAGAGAUAAAUCAAGUAGAUAGUUUAAUUUAUCAAGCAUGUAAAGAAACACAAGUCAAUUAAAGCAUGUUUCGGAUUCUUAAGACCAUUCAAGUGUCAUCUAACUUAUAAUUUCAGUGACAAACUCAAAGUAUCACAACAUUAGUCUGUUAUAUGACAAUAAAACACAGACACCUUCCAUCCGUGUUUCAAUAUUAUGCACACAAAUGGUGCUGGAAUAUAUCGGGAUGCCAUCCACAAUGACUGCCGUACAUCCCCAAACAGUUAGGCCAAUGUAUACCGUCAAAGAUCCAAGACGGCUGCCAUACUAGACAAAUCACAUUCUUUGGUUUCUCUUUUCAAAAUCAUGGCCAUUGGUCGAAAAUCAUUUCUUUAUGUAGUACAUCAAGGACCCAAGAAGGUUGUCGUACAACUCCCGCACUUGUAGACGACACACGCUUGUCGCUAUGUAUAUUAUUUCGAGUCAUGGCCUAAUAGAUGAAUUUCCCUUUAUUAAUGAAGUGUCCAAUUUCAUGUGUUAAGUGAAAAUCAAGAGAUACGAGCACAACAAUAUGUUCGAAAGCAUGUUAAAACACUUCAUGCACAUCAUAUAAAUAGUAUGGUGCAUUACGCUAUAGCACAGAGAUUAAAAAUCAUAGACACUUUUUUAUAUAACUCAAAACGUAGCAUUUUAGGCGAUUUUAUCGUUUAGUCCCAACCAAAGAGUAAACCAUGCAAGAUUGUCCGUCACAUGCAUGUAAUCUCAUCAAGUUACUAUACCGAAACUACAUAUUAAUUUUGAGAACACACAAGAAGGUAGAAGCUAAGCAUACCUCGAAAUCUCUUUAAAUAAGCUAAAUAUCGCGCCGGUUGUCCAAUGAUGCCCAACAAUGUCAAUCUACAUAUAUAAAUUCAUGGAUGUCAAUAACGUGUCACAUCGCUACUAAUUUAACCAAGUGUUCUACACUUAGACUUAGUUUCCAAAAAUUCCAUAAUCCUCCGUUUUUAGGUGAUACCAUGGUUAAUCACCUUAAAUAAUUCCAACAAUUGCGUCAAUACAUUCAUUAGUGUCGUAUAAGUUUUCCAUUAAAAACCCAUAAGCACUAUUCAUCGUCUCCUCACCAACCUCGCAACCUCCAUUAAUGUCAAGUUAGGGCUUUGCACUUAUUGUCAAUCCAACCACCAGCCAACUCAAAUAAUACCUUUUACAACCAUAUGUACUCAUAAAUAACUCAUAUUUAUUGUUCACAAGUGUAGAAAUUAGCUUCUUGAAUAAAAACUAAAAAAUCAACUUUAGGGAUUUUAAAGCACCUUGGUGUUCUUGUUGAAAUCUAGCCAAUCCAAAGAUAUAUUGAUGUAAGUGUUAACUAACUUUAAUUAACACAAAAUAUAGGACAAAACUUACCUUGGAUGGCGUUGGAAGGGGUCUUGGCCGAGAGCUCUUGAAGAACUAAACUUAGCUAUUUGUUUGGUUUCUUUGCAACUGUAAAGACCCAACUACAGAGGAAAGGUAUUUUAUGUCUAAUGGCUACUGAUUUGUUUGGACCCCACUUAAUUGGAAAAACUUAUCAUUUUGAGUGAUUAGGAAAUAGCAUUAUGUAUUUAAGUUCAAUUUGGUCUUUAGCUGCUCUAUGACGCAUCUUUUAUCAGAAUGGUUAUACCAUGGAAAGAUUGGGGACCAUCUUUCAAAAAUGAACCCGGACGCAUUUCUUGCGUGGCCGAACCCAUAGAUCUUGAUGUAUGCCUAUCUUUUACUUGGACUACAAAAAUGCAUUCUUCGAGAUCCC
This 2380-nucleotide long non-coding RNA is filed under the name Nicotiana tabacum (common tobacco). Its description in RNAcentral is "long non-coding RNA (NTAB_LNC014016)". Lineage: Eukaryota; Viridiplantae; Streptophyta; Magnoliopsida; Solanales; Solanaceae. The record is from RNAcentral.